UACGGAAGGGGCAAGCGUUGUUCGGAAUCAUUGGGCGUAAAGGGCGCGUAGGCGGCCUGAUAAGUCGGGGGUGAAAUCCUGUGGCUCAACCACAGGGCUGCCUCCGAGACUGUCGGGCUCGAGCACAGUAGAGGCAGGUGGAAUUCCCGGUGUAGCGGUGGAAUGCGUAGAGAUCGGGAAGAACAUCGGUGGCGAAGGCGGCCUGCUGGGCUGUUGCUGACGCUGAGGCGCGACAGCGUGGGGAGCAAACAGG
This 253-nucleotide ribosomal RNA is filed under the name uncultured bacterium. RNAcentral describes it as "partial 16S ribosomal RNA". It matches the Rfam family "Bacterial small subunit ribosomal RNA", at positions 524 to 776 of the family's 1533-position model. The record is from RNAcentral.